Molecule: ribosomal RNA, 435 nt
Filed under: uncultured bacterium
Lineage: Bacteria
Description: partial 16S ribosomal RNA
Rfam family: Bacterial small subunit ribosomal RNA
Source: RNAcentral
AGCGAACGCUGGCGGCAGGCUUAACACAUGCAAGUCGAGCGGGCACUUUCGGGUGUCAGCGGCGGACGGGUGAGUAACGCGUGGGAACGUGCCCUCUGGUUCGGAAUAACUCAGGGAAACUUGAGCUAAUACCGGAUACGCCCUUUUGGGGAAAGGCUUGCUGCCGGAGGAUCGGCCCGCGUCUGAUUAGCUAGUUGGUGAGGUAACGGCUCACCAAGGCGACGAUCAGUAGCUGGUCUGAGAGGAUGAUCAGCCACACUGGGACUGAGACACGGCCCAGACUCCUACGGGAGGCAGCAGUGGAGAAUAUUAGACAAUGGGCGCAAGCCUGAUCCAGCCAUGCCGCGUGAGUGAUGAAGGCCUUAGGGUUGUAAAGCUCUUUUAUCCGGGACGAUAAUGACGGUACCGGAGGAAUAAGCCCCGGCUAACUUCGUG